Molecule: ribosomal RNA, 386 nt
Filed under: uncultured bacterium
Lineage: Bacteria
Description: bacterial SSU rRNA
Rfam family: Bacterial small subunit ribosomal RNA
Source: RNAcentral
UCGGGAAUUUUGGGCAAUGGGCGAAACCCUGACCCAGCAACGCCGCGUGAAGGAUGAAGUAUUUCGGUAUGUAAACUUCGAAAGAAUAGGAAGAAUAAAUGACGGUACUAUUUAUAAGGUCCGGCUAACUACGUGCCAGCAGCCGCGGUAAUACGUAGGGACCAAGCGUUGUUCGGAUUUACUGGGCGUAAAGGGCGCGUAGGCGGCAUGACAAGUCACUUGUGAAAUCUCUGGGCUUAACCCAGAACGGCCAAGUGAUACUGUCGCGCUAGAGUGCAGAAGGGGCAAUCGGAAUUCUUGGUGUAGCGGUGAAAUGCGUAGAUAUCAAGAGGAACACCUGAGGUGAAGACGGGUUGCUGGGCUGACACUGACGCUGAGGCGCGAAA